RNAcentral lists this long non-coding RNA (305 nucleotides) under Ananas comosus (pineapple). Its description in RNAcentral is "long non-coding RNA (ACOM_LNC044029)". Lineage: Eukaryota; Viridiplantae; Streptophyta; Magnoliopsida; Poales; Bromeliaceae. The record is from RNAcentral.
AAUUUCAUAAUUUUUUGACAUUAUUUACCUUGUGAUCAAAAUGUCACAAAAAUGAUAAUUUUUAACAGCUGGUAUGGGAUACUUGCUAGUUUAACGGUGUAAAAGAAUUGGAAUAGGUUCAGUUUUUGAUAGAAAAUUCUAUUCACUACCUAGAUAAAGACCAAUAACUCUGAUCUUAAAUUGAAGUAUCCAAUCAUCCAUUUUUAGAACGUCGUUCGAUUUUUAUCAUUUAUUUUGUACCCGCUUGAUGGACUUUAUUAUGAUUUCAAAAAGUGACAAAAAUUUUUUUAGAAGUUUCAAAUUCU